AUAAAAUUCCUUGUUGAUCCUCUUUUCCCUUGGUUACAGCCUCAUUUCCCCUAUCGCCAAGGCUCGAAGUUCAGUACUCUUGUCUCUUGUACACUUAGUCUCUUCCUGAUAUCACCCAGUCUCAUGGCUUUAAACCCCGCCUACCAGUAUAUGCUGACAUCUCCUCUUUUAUCUUCAGCCUAAAACUCCCCUUUGAACUACAGACUUGUAUAUCUAGCUGCUCUACAAAGCCUUGUCCUCUCUUCUUUACAUUUCAGUAAUGAUAAUGCCAUCUUUCCUAGAUUCUGAAGCCAAAAACCUUGGAGUCGAUCUUGAAGUUCUUUAUUUUACGUCCAGCCCUCACAUUCAAGUAUUUGCUCAAAUGUCAUCUUCUCUUUCUGGAGGCUGGGAAGUCCAAGAUCAAGCUGCCAACAGAUUUGGUGUCUGGUGAGGCUGCACACUCCAGAGGGGCAGAACGCUGUGACCUCACAUGGCAGAACUGAAGAGCAACCUAAGGACAAGGUGUGUAUGAUAAAGCAGUGGGAACCAGGCAAAGAAGAUCAUUAAAGCCCUUACCAGCCAAGGUAUGAAGUUUCCAUUUUAUUUUAUACAAAUGUCUAUUACAGAGUUAAGGAUUCCAGGUCAUUCCAUCUUCAUAUCACCUCUGAUACCUAACAUCAUGCCUGGAACACAGUAGGCCUCCUCUUUACACUUUCUAAACUGAUUUAAAAUAGUUUUUGUCAUCUCUAAGUGAUAAAAUCUGGGGAAAUAGAGUUAAAACUAAAGUUAAAUCUAAUACAUUUGCAAACAAAUUUCUUAUUUCCAUGUGUUUGCUUUCAUUAUUUUAAUACCCAAACAAACCCAGAUAUACAAGAAAAUGAGCUAUUACUUUUUCACUUUAAUUUUAUGUUUCUCCAUGGUGUAAACAUUUUAAAAAUCAACUUCAUAUACUUUUCCAAUUUAAAAAAGCUUAUGUUUUGUUAAUAAAGAAAAUAGAAGCCUAAAUAUUGAAGGUAAAAAGUGAUUUCCUCAUUAAUUUACAUUCCCUCUGAGAUUUAUUGCACAGUAAAUUAGUUAAUUGCAAACCUUCUAACAAUGUUUUACUCCAUUAUAGAUUACUUUGGAAAAACAAAUUUGAUUUUUCCCUCUUGAACAAUGAGUGGUUUAUUUUAAAGUAGGUGAAAGGUAAUGUGAAGGAAAAAAAAACCCAGCUUCACAGAUGUAUAGUUUAAAGUUUGCCAAGUACUUAGCAAAGGGUUACACUAACUUCAAACGGUUGGAAAGUAUAAUGUAAUGUGAGAACUCGAAGGUCUUGUUUCUCUUUCAGCUCCCAUUCUCACUCAGUCCCCUGCAAACCAUCGGCAUAAAGAGCAAAGUUUCAGAGAUCACAUCCUCUAGUGGAGAGCAAAUGAACAAAAGGGGAAAGAGAGACGCGAUGAAUUGCACGUGCGCUAUUAUAUUUGCAAGCGGGUUACAUUGUCCUUGGAUAAGAAUUUUAUAUUCCCCGUGAGUCGGAGACUCUGUGCUCUGAAUUAUGUUGCUCAAUUCAAGCGAUGAUCCAAGGCCAAUGACAGUAUACCAAGCUAUCAUUUCUUGGCAGGUCGAAUAGUCAUGUGUAUAUUUUAUGUUCCUUAUAAAAGUUAGGCGAUAUAAAUAUUGGUGAUAUGAAAGUUGAUAUUUUACAUAAAUUGUCAAUUGCUAGUCAAACACGUCAAGGUUUUUUCUUUAUGUGGUGGGGCUUUAAAAUCUCAGCAGGGAGUUCUUUGAGUUUGAAGUGUCUCCCCUAAGCUUUCCAUUUCAGACACUGUUUUUUUCCAAAACAGGUCUCAGUGUGUUGGUGUUUCCAAAGUGCAGAUGAUUCCUGUUCUUAUUUUGUGGCUGUUCUUGCAGAAUGCUAUCAGCCCCAGAUCUAGGGUAGAGGACAGGCUUGAUUGGAGCCUUUGCCUGUUACAAUGCAUGAUUCCACCACAGGCCAGCUGUGACCAUUCCGCCCAGUGACAGCGUGGUUGUCUUUCCUCAUAGGUGAAGGAGGUGACUUCUUAUGGGACAUGAUUUCUGAAGCAGAAGUUUACCUGAGGUUCCUGGAAGAAAUGUUUUCCCCACCUGUUGGCUCCCUGAGUAUUAACAUGCCAGAUGCAAAGCUUCAUUCAUUCUAUUAAAAUGCAAAUGAGCCCAACAGUGUAGUAAAACAGUUUGCUGCUAGAAGUUAUUUACAAUAUUCUAAGAGUAACGCUCUUAUUCACCCUAAGCACAGGUUUUAAUAAAAAGUGGAAGGGAUCGCAAGGGUAUUGAGAUCUCAGCAAGAGAAGGAAAGGGAAAAGGUUGUUUAAAAACAACAUUAAUAGAAGACAUACCGUAUAGAGAGAAAAACGCAGACUGUGCAUGUUCAAGAUAACUUUCAUUACAAUUUUGCCUAAGCCAGGGUGAAUGCAAAUGUUUCAGUUUUAACAGACUGGAUCAUUCAUUCAAAAAGCAUUUAUUGAGUGCCUUCUCAAAAAAGAAUGAUAAUUAGAUUUUUUAAGUUAUAAAGAAAAUAUAAAACCAAAACUGGAGAAAUAUACGCCAACAUUUUUCCAAUGGUUCCGUUGUCAAAGUAGAAUUAGAAUGUAAGUGCAGAGUUAAAUUCCAUUGUCUAUCAAGAAGUAAUUGUAAAGGAGCUAUGUCUAAAAAUGUAUCUUUUCAGUGAUUUUUGUUCUGAACAAUCUUCUGCCUCAAAUACAUUUUGGAUCUAUGA
Molecule: long non-coding RNA, 2713 nt
Organism: Homo sapiens (human)
Lineage: Eukaryota; Metazoa; Chordata; Mammalia; Primates; Hominidae
Exons: 3
Source: RefSeq, a predicted model, not a curated record